RNAcentral lists this ribosomal RNA (478 nucleotides) under Blastocystis sp. Its description in RNAcentral is "SSU rRNA". It matches the Rfam family "Eukaryotic small subunit ribosomal RNA", at positions 460 to 953 of the family's 1831-position model. Lineage: Eukaryota; Bigyra; Opalinata; Blastocystidae. The record is from RNAcentral.
GGAGGUAGUGACAAUAAAUCACAAUGCGGAACUUUUGUUUUGCAAUUGGAUUGAGAACAACGCACAACACUUAUCGAUAAACAAUUGGAGGGCAAGUCUGGUGCCAGCAGCCGCGGUAAUUCCAGCUCCAAUAGCGUAUAUUAACGUUGUUGCAGUUAAAAAGCUCGUAGUUGAAGUGAAGUAAUGAAGUUGUGACUUGAUUUAUCAUUUCGCUUCUUAAUUACUCUUUCCAAAUUGUUUGCACGGGUAUUCAUUUACUUGUGUAUUGCAUUUGGUCAUUUACUGUGAGAAAAUUAGAGUGUUCAAAGCAUACGUUUGUUUGAAUACAUUAGCAUGGAAUAAUUCGAAAAGGCUUUCAUGUUCGAUUUGAUUGGUUUGUUCGUGAGAGCAAGAUUAAAAGGGACAGUUGGGGGUAUUCAUAUUCAAUAGUCAGAGGUGAAAUUCUCGGAUUUAUGGAAGAUGAACAAGUGCGAAAGCA